UACGUAGGGGGCAAGCGUUGUCCGGAUUUAUUGGGCGUAAAGAGCGUGUAGGCGGUUUGGUAGGUCCGCUGUGAAAACUCGAGGCUCAACCUCGAGACGCCGGUGGAAACCAUCAGGCUAGAGUCCGGAAGAGGAGAGUGGAAUUCCUGGUGUAGCGGUGAAAUGCGUAGAUAUCUGGAGGAACACCGGUGGCGAAGGCGGCGACCUGGUCCUUGACUGACGCUGAGGCGCGAAAGCGUGGGGAGCAAACAGG
Molecule: ribosomal RNA, 253 nt
Filed under: uncultured bacterium
Lineage: Bacteria
Description: partial 16S ribosomal RNA
Rfam family: Bacterial small subunit ribosomal RNA
Source: RNAcentral